This 324-nucleotide ribosomal RNA is filed under the name uncultured bacterium. RNAcentral describes it as "bacterial SSU rRNA". It matches the Rfam family "Bacterial small subunit ribosomal RNA", at positions 28 to 334 of the family's 1533-position model. The record is from RNAcentral.
GAUGAACGCUGGCGGCGUGCCUAACACAUGCAAGUCGAACGAAGCGUAUCUGACGGAGAUUCGUCGAAGCCGGAUAUGACUUAGUGGCGGACGGGUGAGUAAUGUGUGAGCAACCUGCCUUUCAGUGGGGGACAACAUUUGGAAACGAAUGCUAAUACCGCAUAAGACCACAGUGUCGCAUGGCACAGGGGUCAAAGGAUUUAUCCGCUGAAAGAUGGGCUCGCGUCCGAUUAGCUAGAUGGUGAGGUAACGGCCCACCAUGGCGACGAUCGGUAGCCGGACUGAGAGGUUGAACGGCCACAUUGGGACUGAGGCACGGCCCAG